AGCCCCAUAGUUUCAAAAUAUAAGAUUGCAAAUCUUAAGUAGCAGACUAAUUACUGCUGGGGCUU
RNAcentral lists this transfer RNA (65 nucleotides) under Careproctus cypselurus. Its description in RNAcentral is "tRNA-Cys". Lineage: Eukaryota; Metazoa; Chordata; Actinopteri; Perciformes; Liparidae. The record is from RNAcentral.